This 412-nucleotide ribosomal RNA is filed under the name uncultured bacterium. Its description in RNAcentral is "bacterial SSU rRNA". It matches the Rfam family "Bacterial small subunit ribosomal RNA", at positions 29 to 489 of the family's 1533-position model. The record is from RNAcentral.
AACGAACGCUGGCGGCAGGCCUAACACAUGCAAGUCGAGCGCCCCGCAAGGGGAGCGGCGGACGGGUGAGUAACACGUGGGAAUUUUCCUCAAGGUACGGAACAACUCAGGGAAACUUGGGCUAAUACCGUAUGAUGCAGAGAUGCCAAAGAUUUAUCGCCUUGGGAUAAGCCCGCGUCAGAUUAGGUAGUUGGUGAGGUAACGGCUCACCAAGCCUGUGAUCUGUAGCUGGCUGAGAGGACGAUCAGCCACAUUGGGACUGAGACACGGCCCAAACUCCUACGGGAGGCAGCAGUGGGGAAUCUUGCGCAAUGGGCGAAAGCCUGACGCAGCCAUGCCGCGUGAAUGAUGAAGGUCUUAGGAUUGUAAAGUUCUUUCGCCUGUGACGAUGAUGACGGUAACAGGAGAAGAA